Molecule: small nucleolar RNA, 92 nt
Organism: Trichomycterus rosablanca
Lineage: Eukaryota; Metazoa; Chordata; Actinopteri; Siluriformes; Trichomycteridae
Product: small nucleolar RNA SNORD70
Exons: 1
Source: RefSeq, a predicted model, not a curated record
GUCAGUGUUGUCGAUGAUGUAUCUGUUAAACUGACUCAAAGUAUGAGGACACUAAGCAGUUUAUUCGUCACUACCACUGAGACAACACUUAU